GGACACUGACAUCUGCGGCGCCGGCGGCGACGAAUUGAUGCUCCAGCUCUGCUGCAUCUGACGGCUCCGCCCAGACGAAGUAGUCCGCGACAUCCGCCGUCGCUGCCGGUGGUGCGUCGACGGUUCCCGAGCGGUCGUCGUCCUGGAGGUCGAUCCAGCCUUCCUCGGAGUCCCAGUCAGGCAGCGCGGAGGCGGCGCACGCCAAUGCGCCGAUCCUCUCGGCCGCGCCCGUCGACAUCUCGUCCGCUCCGUCGUCGUCCUCGGUGUCCGAGUCCCAGAACGCGUCGUGCAGCGUGCUCUUGGGGGACGGGAACAACGCCUGCUGCUUCGCCGGCUGCGCGUCCUGCAAGUCGCGGGCGGCGGCGGAGGAGGAAGCGACGAACGGGUGCGCCACGAGCUGGGCCGCCGUGGACCGGGCGCUGGCGUGCCUCUUGAAGCAGCCGGCCAGGAAGUCCUUGGCCUCCGCCGACAGCCACGCGGGCACCUCAGGCACGGCGUCCGUGUACCCGAUCCGGUGGAUCGCGGCGAGGAGGUCGUCCAUGUCGCUCCAGGGCGCGCGGCCCGUGGCCAUCUCGAUGACCAUGCACCCGAGCGCCCAGACGUCGGCGGCGGGUCCUUGCUCCUGCCCGCGCGCCACCUCGGGGGCCAUGAACGCCGGUGUGCCCCCGACGGGCCGCGUC
RNAcentral lists this long non-coding RNA (680 nucleotides) under Sorghum bicolor (sorghum). Its description in RNAcentral is "long non-coding RNA (SBIC_LNC005642)". The record is from RNAcentral. Lineage: Eukaryota; Viridiplantae; Streptophyta; Magnoliopsida; Poales; Poaceae.